AACUAACAAGUAGUGCUGGCGAAGACGUAGUUUUUGCCAUGAAUACCUUCAUAACGCGCCUGCUGUCUGUUUCAGAUCCUGCGAAAAUGAAGACAGCGGUCACUGAGACAAGCGCUCCUGAACUAGCAAAUUUGCUCUUCUGGUUGAUGGUGGUUGGUUACAGCAUUCGCAAUAUUGAGGUGAGAUUCGACAUGGAAAAGGUGCUCGGCGCUCCUCCCAAGCUGGCCGAACUACCACCCGGCGAAAACAUAUAGAGCCACAAAGCAUCAGAGUUUUCAAAAAUACAAAAUUAAAUCGCUUCUCAUCAACUGUCUCCAGCUUCUAAGGUGACAUUCAGUAGAGAAACACAACAAUUGGAUGAUGGUGGGACAAGAUGCUGCUAAAAUGUCAUUUUGGAAUUGAGAGAGAGAUAGAGAAUAAGUUGGGUUGUAUUGUUGGUCCAGUUUUUGAAAAUUCAUUUUGUAUUUUUUGUUCACCAAAGGCUAGCUCUGUUUGUUUUGGCAUAUUUUAUCUAUCCCUCCCAAUUCUAUCUUACAAUUUUUUCUUUUUUUUAGGG
Phalaenopsis equestris is the source of this 556-nucleotide long non-coding RNA. RefSeq lists it as uncharacterized. The transcript has 3 exons. NCBI's taxonomy places the organism in Eukaryota, Viridiplantae, Streptophyta, Magnoliopsida, Asparagales, Orchidaceae. The record is from RefSeq and is a predicted model, not a curated record.